UACGGAGGGUGCAAACGUUGCUCGGAAUCAUUGGGCGUAAAGCGCACGUAGGCGGUCCGGCAAGUCGGGUGUGAAAGCCCUCGGCUUAACCGAGGAAGUGCAUUCGAAACUACCGGACUUGAAUACUGGAGAGGGUCGCGGAAUUCCCGGUGUAGAGGUGAAAUUCGUAGAUAUCGGGAGGAACACCAGUGGCGAAGGCGGUGAUCUGGGAAGAUACUGACGCUGAGGUGCGAAAGCGUGGGGAGCAAACAGG
RNAcentral lists this ribosomal RNA (253 nucleotides) under uncultured bacterium. RNAcentral describes it as "partial 16S ribosomal RNA". It matches the Rfam family "Bacterial small subunit ribosomal RNA", at positions 524 to 776 of the family's 1533-position model. The record is from RNAcentral.